This 229-nucleotide ribosomal RNA is filed under the name uncultured bacterium. RNAcentral's name for it is "partial 16S ribosomal RNA". It matches the Rfam family "Bacterial small subunit ribosomal RNA", at positions 568 to 796 of the family's 1533-position model. The record is from RNAcentral.
UGCGUUGGCGGACUAAUAAGUCAGUGGUGAAAUCUCUCGGCUCAACCGGGAAACUGCCAUUGAUACUGUUAGUCUUGAGUUCGGUUGAGGUAGGCGGAAUGUGUAAUGUAGCGGUGAAAUGCUUAGAUAUUACACAGAACACCAAUUGCGUAGGCAGCUUACUAGACCGACACUGACGCUGAGGCACGAAAGCGUGGGUAGCGAACAGGAUUAGAUACCCUGGUAGUCC